RNAcentral lists this ribosomal RNA (2930 nucleotides) under Escherichia coli. RNAcentral describes it as "bacterial LSU rRNA". It matches the Rfam family "Bacterial large subunit ribosomal RNA". The record is from RNAcentral. Lineage: Bacteria; Pseudomonadati; Pseudomonadota; Gammaproteobacteria; Enterobacterales; Enterobacteriaceae.
GGGUUGUGAGGUUAAGCGACUAAGCGUACACGGUGGAUGCCCUGGCAGUCAGAGGCGAUGAAGGACGUGCUAAUCUGCGAUAAGCGUCGGUAAGGUGAUAUGAACCGUUAUAACCGGCGAUUUCCGAAUGGGGAAACCCAGUGUGUUUCGACACACUAUCAUUAACUGAAUCCAUAGGUUAAUGAGGCGAACCGGGGGAACUGAAACAUCUAAGUACCCCGAGGAAAAGAAAUCAACCGAGAUUCCCCCAGUAGCGGCGAGCGAACGGGGAGGAGCCCAGAGCCUGAAUCAGUGUGUGUGUUAGUGGAAGCGUCUGGAAAGGCGCGCGAUACAGGGUGACAGCCCCGUACACAAAAAUGCACAUGCUGUGAGCUCGAUGAGUAGGGCGGGACACGUGGUAUCCUGUCUGAAUAUGGGGGGACCAUCCUCCAAGGCUAAAUACUCCUGACUGACCGAUAGUGAACCAGUACCGUGAGGGAAAGGCGAAAAGAACCCCGGCGAGGGGAGUGAAAAAGAACCUGAAACCGUGUACGUACAAGCAGUGGGAGCCUCUUUUAUGGGGUGACUGCGUACCUUUUGUAUAAUGGGUCAGCGACUUAUAUUCUGUAGCAAGGUUAACCGAAUAGGGGAGCCGAAGGGAAACCGAGUCUUAACUGGGCGUUAAGUUGCAGGGUAUAGACCCGAAACCCGGUGAUCUAGCCAUGGGCAGGUUGAAGGUUGGGUAACACUAACUGGAGGACCGAACCGACUAAUGUUGAAAAAUUAGCGGAUGACUUGUGGCUGGGGGUGAAAGGCCAAUCAAACCGGGAGAUAGCUGGUUCUCCCCGAAAGCUAUUUAGGUAGCGCCUCGUGAAUUCAUCUCCGGGGGUAGAGCACUGUUUCGGCAAGGGGGUCAUCCCGACUUACCAACCCGAUGCAAACUGCGAAUACCGGAGAAUGUUAUCACGGGAGACACACGGCGGGUGCUAACGUCCGUCGUGAAGAGGGAAACAACCCAGACCGCCAGCUAAGGUCCCAAAGUCAUGGUUAAGUGGGAAACGAUGUGGGAAGGCCCAGACAGCCAGGAUGUUGGCUUAGAAGCAGCCAUCAUUUAAAGAAAGCGUAAUAGCUCACUGGUCGAGUCGGCCUGCGCGGAAGAUGUAACGGGGCUAAACCAUGCACCGAAGCUGCGGCAGCGACGCUUAUGCGUUGUUGGGUAGGGGAGCGUUCUGUAAGCCUGUGAAGGUGUGCUGUGAGGCAUGCUGGAGGUAUCAGAAGUGCGAAUGCUGACAUAAGUAACGAUAAAGCGGGUGAAAAGCCCGCUCGCCGGAAGACCAAGGGUUCCUGUCCAACGUUAAUCGGGGCAGGGUGAGUCGACCCCUAAGGCGAGGCCGAAAGGCGUAGUCGAUGGGAAACAGGUUAAUAUUCCUGUACUUGGUGUUACUGCGAAGGGGGACGGAGAAGGCUAUGUUGGCCGGGCGACGGUUGUCCCGGUUUAAGCGUGUAGGCUGGUUUUCCAGGCAAAUCCGGAAAAUCAAGGCUGAGGCGUGAUGACGAGGCACUACGGUGCUGAAGCAACAAAUGCCCUGCUUCCAGGAAAAGCCUCUAAGCAUCAGGUAACAUCAAAUCGUACCCCAAACCGACACAGGUGGUCAGGUAGAGAAUACCAAGGCGCUUGAGAGAACUCGGGUGAAGGAACUAGGCAAAAUGGUGCCGUAACUUCGGGAGAAGGCACGCUGAUAUGUAGGUGAAGCGACUUGCUCGUGGAGCUGAAAUCAGUCGAAGAUACCAGCUGGCUGCAACUGUUUAUUAAAAACACAGCACUGUGCAAACACGAAAGUGGACGUAUACGGUGUGACGCCUGCCCGGUGCCGGAAGGUUAAUUGAUGGGGUUAGCGCAAGCGAAGCUCUUGAUCGAAGCCCCGGUAAACGGCGGCCGUAACUAUAACGGUCCUAAGGUAGCGAAAUUCCUUGUCGGGUAAGUUCCGACCUGCACGAAUGGCGUAAUGAUGGCCAGGCUGUCUCCACCCGAGACUCAGUGAAAUUGAACUCGCUGUGAAGAUGCAGUGUACCCGCGGCAAGACGGAAAGACCCCGUGAACCUUUACUAUAGCUUGACACUGAACAUUGAGCCUUGAUGUGUAGGAUAGGUGGGAGGCUUUGAAGUGUGGACGCCAGUCUGCAUGGAGCCGACCUUGAAAUACCACCCUUUAAUGUUUGAUGUUCUAACGUUGACCCGUAAUCCGGGUUGCGGACAGUGUCUGGUGGGUAGUUUGACUGGGGCGGUCUCCUCCUAAAGAGUAACGGAGGAGCACGAAGGUUGGCUAAUCCUGGUCGGACAUCAGGAGGUUAGUGCAAUGGCAUAAGCCAGCUUGACUGCGAGCGUGACGGCGCGAGCAGGUGCGAAAGCAGGUCAUAGUGAUCCGGUGGUUCUGAAUGGAAGGGCCAUCGCUCAACGGAUAAAAGGUACUCCGGGGAUAACAGGCUGAUACCGCCCAAGAGUUCAUAUCGACGGCGGUGUUUGGCACCUCGAUGUCGGCUCAUCACAUCCUGGGGCUGAAGUAGGUCCCAAGGGUAUGGCUGUUCGCCAUUUAAAGUGGUACGCGAGCUGGGUUUAGAACGUCGUGAGACAGUUCGGUCCCUAUCUGCCGUGGGCGCUGGAGAACUGAGGGGGGCUGCUCCUAGUACGAGAGGACCGGAGUGGACGCAUCACUGGUGUUCGGGUUGUCAUGCCAAUGGCACUGCCCGGUAGCUAAAUGCGGAAGAGAUAAGUGCUGAAAGCAUCUAAGCACGAAACUUGCCCCGAGAUGAGUUCUCCCUGACUCCUUGAGAGUCCUGAAGGAACGUUGAAGACGACGACGUUGAUAGGCCGGGUGUGUAAGCGCAGCGAUGCGUUGAGCUAACCGGUACUAAUGAACCGUGAGGCUUAACCUUACAACGCCGAAGGUGUUU